This 2682-nucleotide long non-coding RNA is filed under the name Callithrix jacchus (white-tufted-ear marmoset). Its description in RNAcentral is "lncRNA (ENSCJAG00000079036.1)". The record is from RNAcentral. Lineage: Eukaryota; Metazoa; Chordata; Mammalia; Primates; Cebidae.
AAUUCAGAAUGUCUUUUCUGUGUUAUUUUGACUUUUUUUGAGUUUUCUUAAAAGAUCCAUUUUUAAUUCUGCAUCUGAUAGGCCACAUGUCUCUGUUUCUCUGGGAUUUUUUUCCCCUAGUACCUUUUUUGGUUCAUUUGGUGAGGUCAUGUUUUCUUGGACAAUCUUGAUACUGUGGAUUCUUUUCUGUGUCUGGAUAUUGAAGUGUUGGGUAUUUACUGUAGUCUUCACAAUCUGGGGUUGUUUGUACAUGUGCUUCUAGGUAAGACUUCCAGGUAUUCACAAAAUGGGUGUUGUGAUCUAAGCUGUAUCUUCAGUGGAGGCCAUCCCACACCCAGUAAUGCUUCGGCUUUUGUAGAUUCAUAGAGGUACUCCCUUGAUGGUCUUGGACAAAUAUCUGGUAGAAUUAUCUAAAUUAUCAGGCAGAGACACUUGUUUCUUUUCCUUCGCUUUCUCUCAAACAAAUGGAGUUUCUCUCUGUGUGUGUGUGUUCUGAGCCACCUGGGCUAGAGGUGCAGUGUCACAAGCACUCUUUUGGCCAGCACCACUAACACGGCACUGGAUCAGAUCUCAAGCCAGCACAGCACUGGGUCUCACCCAAGGGCUGCUGUAACCACACCCUGGCUACCACCUGUGUUCAUUCAGGUCCUCAGGGCUCUAUGAUCAGCAUAUGGAAAAGGCAGCAAGUCUGGUGUCUUUCCCUUCAGGGUAGUGAAUUCUCCCAAGACCCCUUGCAGGUCCAGAGGUGUUGUCUGGAAGACAGGAACUAGAGUCAAAAACCUUCCGAGUCUACUUGCUACCCUAUUAUACUGUGGCUUUAAAGUCCCAUAGGAAGUACUGCCAAAUUACGGCCGGUGUUCCUUUAAUAUCCAAUGGCUCUUCAGUCAGCUUGUGAUGAGUGCUGCUGGUCUUGGACUCAUCCUUUAGGGCAGUGGACUAGUCUGGGACAGAUCCAGAAAUGUCAACAAGAGCCAAGGCCUGAAAUCGGGGACCCUAAGAGCCUGCUUGGUGUUUUACUUCCUGUGGCAGAGCUGACACCUAAGGUGCAAGACAAAGUCCUCUUUAGUUUUCCCUUUUUUUUUUUUUUAACUCUAAUAUUGCUUGACCUGCACUCAAAGGCAGUCUGAAGUUGAAAACUGAACACUGGGUAUAGAAAGAAAAGUCUUUUUUUGGGGGGGGAUGGAAUUUUACUCUUGUUACCCAGGCUGGAGUGCAAUGGUGCAAUCUCGGCUCACCGCAACCUCCGCCUCCUGGGUUCAGGCAAUUCUCCUGCAUCAGCCUCCUAAGUAGCUGGGAUUACAGGCACACGCCACCAUGCCCAGCUAAUUUUUUGUAUUUUUAGUAGAGAUGGGGUUUCACCGUGUUGACCAGGACAAUCUCAAUCUCUUGACCUCAUGAUCCACCCUCCUCAGCCUCCCAAAGUGCUGGAAUUACAGGCGUGAGCCACCAAGCCUGACACAGAAAGAAAAAUCUUCAAGAGAAAGUUGCUAUUUUUGGUCUGACAAGUAGGAAAACCAGCCACUGAGGGUCAGAGAAAGGUGGUUAAAUCCUCUGGGUUUUGUUUUGUUUAUUCUCUCCCAUCUCAGACCUGAAAAAUUCUAUGGUGUUAAUUACAGGAAAAACCAUGCAGGAAACUAAUCUUUGGGAUGAGGGGAACAUUCCUCUUGGGCCAGAAAAAUAUGUUCUUGAGAGCAUAGGAGAGAAUGUCUUUUGCUCUUUAAUUUUUCUAUGCCCUCAUGUUGCUCAGCCCCAGAGGCAGAAUUGACCAAGGAAAAUAUGUGGCAGAGAGAGAAAACUGAAGCGCUGACUCUCUAGCAUAGGACCAGGAAAAAUGUUCCUGAGAGGUAGAUAGUAACAAAGAGAGGAUGGAGCUUAAGAAAGUAAUUUUAUUGAGUUAUGUAUGAACUUCUGACCUCACUUCCAACCUACAUAUGCUUGGAUGUGACCUAAAAUAGCAUUUGGUCAGAACUGUUGUUGGAAGCAAAGUCCCAGAGCACAAUGACCUUACAGUCUGUAUGUAACCAGGCUGAUUGCCUGUUAAAACAACAACAAAUCAAUAUUCUUCAUAAGAGUUAAACAAGACUAACAAUAUAAAAAUACACAAAAUGCCUAGAAGAUAAUCAGAAUUAUCGAACACAUGAAGGACUAAAAAAACAUCAAUUCACUAAGAAAAGGAAAAUCAACAGACUCUAAAAACUAGAGCUACCACUGAUUUUGGAAUCAUUAGAUGAAGAUUUUAAAGCAACCGUUAUCACCAUGCUCUAUAAAGUAAGGGUGACCACAACAGAAGAGUCAGUGCUAUCAAAAAUAACCAAAUGAAAAUUUCAUUACUAAAAAAUGUAAUAACUGAAAUGUAAACAUUCACUGGAUAAGCUCAUAGAAGAAUGGAGGGCACAGAAGAGUAAGUCAACUUGAAUAUAGGUCAAUAGGAAUAAGAUACUCUGUCUGUUAUACCCUACUAAAAUUUAACUAUAAAAAUGCAAAAUUAAAGGACACUUUUUUCAGCAAUGUAAAAAAGUGAAACCAUAACCACAUAUAUCCUAAAUGCCAAACCACUUGUAUAUUUGCUUUGACAUUUAUACAUUUAAGUAUACAAUUUAUCUUUCAAAAAGUUUUCAUUUAAAAAUGAAAUCAGUGCUGAAAUUGAAUAUCAAGACAGCAAUGAGUCAUGGAUAAGCUACA